Long non-coding RNA from Rhipicephalus sanguineus (brown dog tick), 475 nucleotides. RefSeq lists it as uncharacterized. The record is from RefSeq and is a predicted model, not a curated record. The transcript has 3 exons. Lineage: Eukaryota; Metazoa; Arthropoda; Arachnida; Ixodida; Ixodidae.
GAGGCUGCCGGAACCCUUGUCAGAUGUAAUGCCCGAGUUACCAAGCACAUGUGUUAAUUAAGCGUGCAGGAGGGGACUACACGAUUUGGAGCUGCUUCAACCUCUGUCGGUCAGGCGUAGAAAGACUCUGAAUAAUUGAAACGUUUGACAGUACAUUAAGAGAUCAACAUGUUGUUAUUGGUAUUACUUUGUAAUUACGCCCUUACUCCUAAUCAUGCUGCAAAGCCAGUGCAAGGGUGGGAGAUAUGGGCCGGGAAUUGAGAGGCGAAGUCUUGCUACCUGAUUUGUGAAUGGGGACCACCUUCCCAGUCGUACAGUCGGCACGCAAAAUACCACAGUCAAUGGUCUGCUGAAAAAUCUUAGAAAGCAGAACUUUCUUCUCGCAAAACAAGACAUAUAGGAUGCUUAAAAGGACAUACGUAGUGCCUGCAGGGCCCAACGACUCACUAUGCGUCACGGCAUUACCUACGCCGCC